GAUGAACGCUGGCGGCGUGCUUAACACACGCAAGUCGAACGGUGAAAGCGGAGCUUGCUCUGCUGGAUCAGUGGCGAACGGGUGAGUAACACGUGAGCAAUCUGCCCCUGACUCUGGGAUAAGCGCUGGAAACGGCGUCUAAUACCGGAUACGAGCUGCGAAGGCAUCUUCAGCAGCUGGAAAGAACUUCGGUCAGGGAUGAGCUCGCGGCCUAUCAGCUAGUUGGUGAGGUAACGGCUCACCAAGGCGUCGACGGGUAGCCGGCCUGAGAGGGUGACCGGCCACACUGGGACUGAGACACGGCCCAGACUCCUACGGGAGGCAGCAGUGGGGAAUAUUGCACAAUGGGCGCAAGCCUGAUGCAGCAACGCCGCGUGAGGGAUGACGGCCUUCGGGUUGUAAACCUCUUUUAGCGGGGAAGAAGCGAAAGUGACGGUACCUGCAGAAAAAGCACCGGCUAACUACGUGCCAGCCGCCGCCGUAA
RNAcentral lists this ribosomal RNA (484 nucleotides) under uncultured bacterium. Its description in RNAcentral is "partial 16S ribosomal RNA". It matches the Rfam family "Bacterial small subunit ribosomal RNA", at positions 28 to 523 of the family's 1533-position model. The record is from RNAcentral.